Molecule: ribosomal RNA, 904 nt
Filed under: Serratia symbiotica
Lineage: Bacteria; Pseudomonadati; Pseudomonadota; Gammaproteobacteria; Enterobacterales; Yersiniaceae
Description: bacterial SSU rRNA
Rfam family: Bacterial small subunit ribosomal RNA
Source: RNAcentral
UUUAAAAGACCUAGCAAUAGGUAUGCUUAGGGAGGAGCUUGCGUCACAUUAGUUAGUUGGUGGGGUAAAGGCCUACCAAGACUAUGAUGUGUAGCUGGGCUGAGAGGUUGAACGGCCACAUUGGGACUGAGACACGGCCCAAACUCCUACGGGAGGCAGCAGUAGGGAAUUUUCGGCAAUGGAGGAAACUCUGACCGAGCAACGCCGCGUGAACGAUGAAGUAUUUCGGUACGUAAAGUUCUUUUAUUAGGGAAGAAUAAAUGAUGGAAAAAUCAUUCUGACAGUACCUAAUGAAUAAGCCCCGGCUAACUAUGUGCCAGCAGCCGCGGUAAUACAUAGGGGGCAAGCGUUAUCCGGAAUUAUUGGGCGUAAAGGGUGCGUAGGCGGUUAAAUAAGUUUAUGGUCUAAGUGCAAUGCUCAACAUUGUGAUGCUAUAAAAACUGUUUAGCUAGAGUAAGAUAGAGGCAAGUGGAAUUUCAUGUGUAGUGGUAAAAUGCGUAAAUAUAUGGAGGAACACCAGUAGCGAAGGCGGCUUGCUGGGUCUUUACUGACGCUGAGGCACGAAAGCGUGGGGAGCAAACAGGAUUAGAUACCCUGGUAGUCCACGCCGUAAACGAUGAGUACUAAACGUUGGGUAAAACCAGUGUUGAAGUUAACACAUUAAGUACUCCGCCUGAGUAGUACGUACGCAAGUAUGAAACUUAAAGGAAUUGACGGGACUCCGCACAAGCGGUGGAUCAUGUUGUUUAAUUCGAAGGUACCCGAAAAACCUCACCAGGUCUUGACAUGCUUCUGCAAAGCUGUAGAAACACAGUGGAGGUUAUCAGUUGCACAGGUGGUGCAUGGUUGUCGUCAGCUCGUGUCGUGAGAUGUUGGGUUAAGUCCCGCAACGAGCGCAACCCUU